GAAUUUAAACUUUGUUGGAGUUUAUAGUACCAUUUAUUUUCUUACCGUAGUUAAUUUAGGGCUUUAUAUAACUUUUGAAAUUAAUAAUUCCGACAGUUAUUUAUUUAAUUGGGCGGCUUAAAAUUUAAAUUUAAAAUUCAAAAUGAAUUGUGUGUUAAUCCUAUUUUUUAGCUAACACGUAAAAGUGAGAAAAAAUGUUUUCAGUUUUGUUUUUAAACUUCACUAGGUAACUUAUAAUCUUUCUAAGCUUUUGAACAGCCUUUUCAAUAAUCGUCUGUUACAAAAAAAAAAAUUAGUAGGUUUUAAGAACAUUUCAACAGAAAUUAAAUGAUUUCACAUUAUCACAUAUCUCAAAAAAUUUAAAUAUAUAAUGAAUGAUUAAAAAUAUUUUGAUAUCUAAUCAUUUUUAUCUUUUACAUAAUUUAUCAUAAUAUAUGUUUGAUGAUACAAUUGUCUUGUUAAAAUUGAGUGAUGUUUUUAUGUAGUGAUUAAACAUAUUUUUUUCCAUUCCUUUGUACAUGAAAAAUAUAGAACUGAUAAUUUUAUGGUUAGAAUAACUCCUUUUUAAAAACAAAUUAUAUAAAAGUUUUCGAUAAUAAAUAUUAGUUAUAAAUAAGUUAAGACCGUUAAAAAUGUAUACCACAAUAACAUAAAUAAAUUUUUUUAGAGACAAUCUACUUGUCUGAAGUCAAACAUUCACCACUUUUCGUUAUUGUUACUUUGUUACUCUAACAAAAUUUAUAGAAGGAGAAAACUAAAUUUGAAACAACAACAAAAUAAUAUUGUUGACCCUUUUAGAAAUUCAUUCUUCAUUAAAUUGUUGCUCUGAAGGCCUUUCUAGAUGCUUCAUCAAUGCAACUUUACGAUUUUUUCAGAAACAUGUAUGUAUAGUUAUUGCAUUAUGAAAGUAUAAGUAAAUCAAAAUGUUGGAUUCUAGACUCAUGUUAAAGAUAUAUUCUCGAACAUUAAAAAAAUAAAAAUGAGUCUAACCUAGAUAACUCAAAUGCUCAGCAAUGGCUUAGGACAUAAAGGACAACAAAUCUAUGUUAAUAGACAUAUCUUUUGUAGCUUAAGAUAUUACUUUUAUUUAGAGCAAGUUUUGUUUCAAAUUCUUCAAAUUAAGCUUGCUGAAAAUAGUCAUAACUCACACCAAAAAUAUUUAGUAGAGCUGAAUGAGAAGGAAAAAAAGAAAAGCAUUAAAAGGACGAAAGUUUUGUCCAAGUGAGAUCAUAUACAUACCAAACGAAAAAUAAUCAAUACACUUUUAAGGAGACAACAAAACAGCAAGAAAAAACAUACAUUAAAGGGAGUAAAUUAUGAGAUAUCCAAUGAUGAUAACAAAUCAUUCUAACCAGAAAAGUUCUCAUAUUUUAAAAUAACAUACCUCAGGAAAUUGACUAACACUUCAAUCAACUUUCAAUCCUUAAAGUACUCUGAUAAAAUUUAGUAAAAAUAGAUAACAACAACAUAAAAACAAAAAAUAUGGGCAUGCAAAGUUAUUAACUCUCAGAAGAUUUUCUAAAGAACACAAAAUCUCAUCAUUGUAUGUGAAGAAAUGACGUUGUUGAUGAACAAAUUAGAGAUUUGUAAGAGUUUUUUUAUUGUACCUUCAACAAUUCCAGUAGAGAAAACUUGCUUGAAUACUCAAUUAAUGUUUGUUAUUUAAUAUGUACUAACAAAUACUUAUAACAAUAAUAUUGCAGAAACAUAAACAACAAAAUUUAAAGCAUGUACUCAAAAAUAACAAUUAAUAAUAUAAGCAUAAAUUAAUGACUGUAAAAACAUUUCAGAAUCUGUAACAAUAGAAUGAAACAUAAUGGAAAAACUCGAGCCCACUGAAUGCACAGUGUCCCCUUAAGGAAAUUAUUCCCCCCUAGUACCCCGAGAUUUAAAGGAAUAGAUCUUCUCAGGAAAGAACGAUUAUAUUCACCAGUGUAUUGAUACAAAAAAAUGGCGUCAGUGAGUCAUUCAACAGGAGCAAAGUACACAAUUAUUUAAUUUUCCAGAAGAAGUUCAAAAUUUUCGUUAUUUUAAAAUGAGAGCAAAUUCCUCUAUUUAUUGACAACAAAAGGUAGUGUGAACAAAUGGUUAUUGUGUCUUAUCAGAAAGGUCACAACUUUUCAUAAAAGUCGCAAUUCUUCAUAAAAGUCACAACUUUUCAUGAAAGGGGAAGGCUAGUUUUGGAAAUAAAAUAAAUUUAAAGGGAAUCCUGAUUUGUCGUGGCGCCACGUAGGCGGGUCUAGGGUUCUCUUUUAUAUAUAUAUAUAUAUAUAUAUAUGAUAUUUCUUAUUUAUUUUUUUGGCAAUCAAAUUUUAAAUUUUAAAAUAAUGACUAAGCUAUCUAUAUUUUUUUUUUUUUAAACUUUUUAUAUUUCUUAUUUAAUUUAUUUGGCAUUCAAAUUCAAAAAAUUUUAAUUUUAAUUGUGAGAAUAAAAUAUAAAUUUUAAGAAAAUAAAAACAAAUAAGAAAUUUAAUUCACGUAAACUAAACAGAUUGUUUAGUUAGUGUGUUUUCUAAAGAGAUAAUUUUAAUUUAAAAGUUUUUUAAUUUAUAUAGAAGUAGGAGUGUAAUGGGAAGUUUUAAAAUUCCCUAUUUACUUGGAUAAUUACUUUAUUUUUAAAAAUAACGAUUAUAAUACCCUAUUUAGGCUGAUGUUUUAUUAAAGUUACAGUAAAACCUCUAUAAAUUAUUACUCAGUAAAUUAAUAAUCUCUCUAAAAUAAUAUUUUCCUCCGGUCCUGACUUGGGCCAAUGGAAAAAAAUCAUCAAUUUCGAUAAGAUAAUAAGAUAAUAUAUUUCCAGAAGACCCAUUAUAUAAAUAUAUGGUCCCAUUAAUAUCAUAAAUUAAUAAUUUUUUUAAAGUACAAAUAGAUCUAAGACAAUUUAGUGAAAUAUGAUUCUAUUGUGUUCAGUUUUUACUUAAAAUUUAAAUCUAGUUCUAACUUUUCUUAUUGCAUCCAAGAGCUCUGGUGUUGUCUUUUCGAUAUGCACCAUAAAAUUGUGAAGAGUUCUAGAUGUGUUAAGUGUUUUCUUACGCGUAACUGGUUCCAAAGGUAUAAUAUCAUCUUCAACUUCAUCAUCAACAUUGCUUUUUUCGAUGGUAUCCAUAAUUUCUUCUAAGCUCUGGACCUCUGAACAUGUAUCACUUUCACCCGGAUAAUCUAACAGGUUAUUGACAUCCAUUUUAUAGUGGUAACCGAGAUCAUUAGUCAUGACCUCAAGUUCAUGAAUGAUGUUUUCACAGGUGGGUUCAUUCAAAUUCUCUAAGAUUGGUCUCAUUAGGAAUUUGAAACCUAACAACUCGAGUUCUACAGUCAAUGAAAGCAUAACAGACAUGAUGCCAAUCCAUACCAAGAAUGACAUAGAAAUCUACCAUGUAUAACUCAACUAAAUUAGCCAUGGUGUUCUUGUGAUUGAUGGAAAUGACACAAUCACGAUGCUGAACAUUUGUUGUCCAAGCAAGGAUAGCAAAAUUGAUAGCAUCCAAAACAUUAAUCUUUGUUGGAUCAAAUUGUCCCACUUCAUAGCCUUCUAAUAUCCUACGAUAAAAUUUAUUACGAUAAUACAUCUUGAAAGUUCUUAUUAUCCCAUCAUCACAAGGUUGAAUUUUGAAUGUCAUGUUGGGUGGCAAGAAAAACAAUUCAACAUUUUGUAGUCCUUCAAUAUUUCUAUUAUGGGAUGGACAAUUAUCUACCACAAUCAAAACUCGUCUACCAUGCAUUUUGUGAUGAAACCAACGAGUAUAUUCAUCAAAAAGCACACUUGUCAUCCAUGCUCUUUUGUUUGCACGAUAGUCACAAUUCAAAUUUUUUUUAUAUGCGAAAUCAAUAAAUAUGAUACAUAAAUUAGUAAGAUACAAUGAUUUUGAUAUAAUCAAAAUUAACCUUCAUUAAAUCUCAAACCAUUCUUUAAAAUUAAUAAAUAUUAAUUUAUCGAUUGAAUAAUAUCUCUAUAAAAUAAUAAAAUUUCAUGGUCCCACCUAUAUUAAUUUAUAGAGGUUUUACUGUAUUAUUAUUAUUAUUAUUAUUAUUAUAGGUGAUAUUUUCUAAUUUUCUAAAAAAAUAUUUAAUUUAAAGGGUAAUUUUUUUUUUUUAAUUUUCUGAAUAAAAUUUUAAGAAAAUAAAAACAAAUAAGAAAUUCAAUUCACGUAAACUAAACAAAUUGUUUAGUUGGUGUGUUUCUUAAAAGAAUAAUUUAAAUAAUUUAAAUUUAUAUUUUUUUAAAUUUGCUUAGAAGUAGGAGUGUAAUGGGAAGUUUUAAAAUCCCUAUUUAGUUGGAUAGUUACUUUAUUUUUAAAAAUAUAGAUUGGAAUGCCCUAUUUAUGUCGAUGGUUUUUUCAAAUUAUUAUUAUUAUUAUUAGUAUUAUUAUUAUUAUUANNNNNNNNNNNNNNNNNNNNNNNNNNNNNNNNNNNNNNNNNNNNNNNNNNNNNNNNNNNNNNNNNNNNNNNNNNNNNNNNNNNNNNNNNNNNNNNNNNNNNNNNNNNNNNNNNNNNNNNNNNNNNNNNNNNNNNNNNNNNNNNNNNNNNNNNNNNNNNNNNNNNNNNNNNNNNNNNNNNNNNNNNNNNNNNNNNNNNNNNNNNNNNNNNNNNNNNNNNNNNNNNNNNNNNNNNNNNNNNNNNNNNNNNNNNNNNNNNNNNNNNNNNNNNNNNNNNNNNNNNNNNNNNNNNNNNNNNNNNNNNNNNNNNNNNNNNNNNNUAUUUUAUACAUUUUAUACCGAAAUGUCAGCCAAAAAAAAUAGAUUUUUUAAAUAAUUAAAAUAAAUUAUAUUUAAUAGGAUUAAAUAAUAAAUUACUAUUUUAUUUUUAAAAUAAUUUAAAUAUUUUGAUGUAACGUGUGUGUGUGAUUCCCUAUUUUUGUGGAAUAUAUUUUAAAGUAAUUAAAAUUAUUUAUUUUUAUAUAAAACUUAAAAAUAUUAAAUAUUAUUUAAAUGAUGAAUUUUGAAAGAAACUGCCAAAGGUGGGUUUAUAAUUUGAAGAUAUGUAAUUAGAUGUUAAUAUUAAAUAAUAAAGUUUAAUUAAUUUAAAAUAUUUUCCACAAAAAAGGGAAUCAUACACACGUUAGAUUGUAAAUAAUUUUUUUAAUUGUCAAAUAAAAUUUUAAGAAAAUAAAAACAACUAAGAAAUUUAAUUCACGUAAACUAAACAGAUUGUUUAGUUAGUGUGUUUUUUAAAAGAAUAAUUUUAAUUUUUUUCAAUUUGCUUAGAAGUAGGAGUGUAAUGGAAAGUUUUAAAACUCCCUAUUUAGUUGGAUAAUUACUUUAUUUUUAAAAAUAAAGAUUAAUAUGCCCCAUUUAUGUCGAUGUUGUUUUCAAAUUAUUUAUUGUUGUUGUUUUCAAAUUGUUGAUGUUGUUGUUGAUAUUUAUUUUAAGAUGUAAAUAAAUUAUUUCUUUUUAUAUAAAACUUAAAAUAUUAAAUAUUAUUUAAAUGAUGAAUUUUGAAAGAAACUUCCAAAUGUGGGUUUAUAAUUUGAAGAUAUCUAAUAAUGUUAAUAUUAAAUAAUAAAGUUUAAUUACUUUAAAAUAUUUUUCACAAAAAAAGGGAAUCUCUCUCACACACACGUUACAUCAUAAUAUUUAAAAUUAUUUUAAAAAUAAAAUAGUAAUUUAUUAUUUAAUCUUAUUAAAUAUAAUUAAUUUUAAUUAUUUAAAAAAAUUGUUAUUUUGUGGUGCUGACAUAUGACGAUUUUCACCUCUCCUAUUAUAUAUACUAGUAUACAAACCCGCGCGAUACGCGGAAAAUUAUUCCUAAAAAAUUAUUUAUAUAUAUAUAUACUUAUUGCCAUUUGAUAUAUCAUGCGUGAAAUUUAAUUAAUUAAUUGAUAUAUUAUGAAAUAAAAUAUUAAAAUUAGUUACAAUUUAUAAAAAAUUUACAACAUAGCUUAUAAAACUAUUUUGAUAUUCGUUAAAAAAAUAAAUCCAACAGACAUUUUAUGUGAAUUUUCUAACAAUGUAUUUUAUUAAAAUACUGUAAUAAAUUAUAACAAAAUAAUAUUGUUGUAUUUGAUACUAACCCACCCCCGUAUAGGCUUAACUAUUUAUUUUUUUCAUAUUAUUUUUUAUUCAUCCUAGACAAUUGUUUUCUUCAUAGAACAGUUAUUUGCAAAGAAAAGUAGAAAUUUCUACUUUAUCUAAAUAUUUGUAAAUAUCCUUUCUCCUAUUGAAGUAAAAAACAUACAAAGAUAGGAACUUUUUUUAUCCUCUAAAUUUCUUUUCUGAAUCUAUUAUUAUUACAAUUUAAAUUGUGAGUAUUAUUAUGUUAGAAUUGUAAUGAAUUCUUUAAAUGUAUAUUUUUAUGUAAUAACUAAUAUGGGUAAAAAUAAAUAAAUAAAUUAUAUAUCAUGAUAAAGAAGGGUUAUAAAAAAAAAGAAGCUUCGAUUUAGUUUUGUUAUAUGAUUGCAAUUUGUGAUAUGUUUAUAAUAAAUACAAAUGUCAUAUCAAGAUAUUGUCAAAUAAUUUAAAUUUUGCUUUAUUCAGAUUUCAUAAUUUCAAUAUACAUUCCUCAAAAGACUCAAACAAAUUUUAUAUGUGAAAUACUUGUCAUUUAAAAUAUUACUCUCACUCUAAAAAUAAUUUCAUAAAUAUGUGAAGACAUAUUUCGUAUGUUAAAACAUAUUUGACAAUAACAUGAUUAAAGUGAUUUUCAGAACAUAUAGAUUUUUGUUGCAUUUAGUUCAUUGGCAUUAUUUAUUAUUACUAAAUCAAAUUAUAUAUAUUUGUAAAAAAAAAAACAAUACUAACUGCAUAUAACUCAGAUACUCCUCUCCAUGUGCCUUUAAGAACCCGUGGAGAAAGAUCAUUUUCCUUAUAAUAUAACAAAAAAAUAUUAGUGAACUUCUCAAGAAUCUCUUAUAUACAUAAGAUAAUAUUUGUUUUUCUUAUUUAAAUAAUAUAAAAAAAAGAAGUAGGACUUUCAUAUAGAACUUCUAAACUAUCACCAUUAAGGUAAAACGUUUGAAUAGAAAACAACAUAAAUAACUGAAUUAACUUCAUGUUUUUUCAACAUUUUCCUCAUCCUAGACAAUCAUGUCGAAAAUCAACAAAAACAAAGUGAAAUUAUCCAAAUAAAUUCAAAGUGAGUAAAAGAUAAGAAGUUUACUUACAAAGAUAAAAAUGUUUCAAGUUAUUAAUUAUUGUGAUUUAUGAUAUUUUUAUGUAACUUUCAAAUAACGUACAUUACUGGUCACUUUAUCCUAAUUUAUGUGAUAUGGAUAAAAUUACAAAAUUAACCCUUUUAAAAUGUCUUUCAGAUAUUUUAAGUUGUUAAUUAUUAUUAUUUAUAAUACUUUUUUGGUAAUUUUAAAAUGAUAUGUGUUAUUUUUUCUGUCCCAAUAUAUGUGAGUCUGAUAGAAUUCUGAGAGUCAGCGUAUUGUAUUAUAUAGCUUAUAAAAAGAACUAAUCUUUGUAUAAUAAUUUUUAUUUUAUAAGUUAUAACAUAAUAGAUGACGUUCUUGUUGUUGGCUCUCAUGUUUUACUUCUCGAUUGACUGUAUACAUAAAUCAAAGAUAGUUAUAUGACUGUCCAUAGUUAACUGAGAAAAGUUUCCUUUUUUUGCAAUAAAGUUAUAAAAAAUUAUAUGAAUAAUGUAUACAAGCUAAAUCUUUCACAAAUUAAAACAAACAAUGAAGACAUAGAUACCAAAGUUUUCUCCAUGAUUUAAUGAAAUUUGAGGGGUGUUAACAUUAGUAAAAGACUUUUGAGAAUCCAUAGAGAGAAAAUUUAUUUUCAUUGUUGUUCAACUAAAGAUAUUUGUUGAGAGAGGAAGAAAGUUUUGUGAAUUGUAGGAUUUUAUCAUUUGAGUUUAGUGUUUAAGUUACAAAAUUUCUUAUUUAGAUUUUCUAAAUGUAAAUUUUUUAAAGUUUGCACAAAUAGUCUCCUAUUUGACUGAUAUUUAAUUUGUGCCCCUACGGUUUGUGCUUCAACAAUAUAGUCAUACGAAAAUUAAGUGUAAUAGAAUAUUGAUAUGUUUAGGUUAUUGCAUGAGUUUAUUAUCAAUGAGUUUAUAAUCACUUGUUUAUCUUACACCAACAAAGAUGUUGUUCAUAUACUUGUAAACGAUUUUUAAUUUAUUCAAUCAAGCACGAUUCAUCUAGGGAAAAAUAACAACAUCGUGUUAUCACAUAUAUAGGAGUGGUGUAAAAAUAUGAAAAAUUAUUGGUCAAAAGUUAAAACAAGAAAAGAUGAAAGAUAGAAAUAAUUAAUGUAAUAACUAUGAGAAUUCAUAAUAUUAUAACUAAAGAAUGUUAAAGAGUGUGAAUAACGUUUGUAAUAAUUAGUAAUAACUAAGAGAAUUUAUAAUGUUAUAACUAAAUGAUUAAUGUGCAAUAGAUGCAUUUCUAAUAAAUUUUAUACUUACAUAAAUAAAUAUGACUUUUAAUUAAUGUUACUAUUUUUUCAUAUAGUUAUUACAUUAUGUCGCACCCAAUUUCGAACCAAGCCGAAACAGUUCACAACAUAAUAUGACUGUCACUCUGUUUUAAAAAAAAAAAAUUGUUUUAGAGUUGCCACCUAAAUUUUAAGGAAAAUAUUAGGAAAACCAUUUUUUAAAUAUGUGAAUGUAAACUCUGUUUUGAUUUGCGAAACCUGUGAGAUUCUGAGUAAGGGUUUUGGUUACUCGAGGGGAAGGUGUUAGGCACCCCUCAGAGCCUAUCCGAAGAUAGUCCUUAAACUCAAUUUAAGAAAAUAUGAUUAGGAAAACUUGUUUAUUUAUUUGUUUUUAAUGAUUAAAUAAUAAGUUAUUAGUUAGUUUAAGAAAAGGGUACAAUACAAGGUACGACAUAUAUAUAUGUCUUAUAAAAUAUAUUUAAUAGUAGUAUUGUGAAAUAAAUAAAUAAAUGUACUUAAAUAUACGAUAUAUUCAUAUGUAAAAUAUAUAUAGGUAGGUGUAUCAAAAUAAAAUUAUCUUAGAAAUAUAUAGAUGUUGAAUUUGCGAAAAUCUAUCGUCUUAUUAAGAAGUAAAAAUAAGAUAAUAUGUAGUAACAUGUGACAUGUAAUUUGAAUGAAAAUAUAUAGAAUGGAGUUUCUAAAAUAUAAAAUAAAAUAAAUGAUACUAGAUGUUAAAAUAUUAAAAUAUUAUAUAAAGGUUUGUGAUCUUAAGUAUGUUUAUUACAAAGUAUAGUAUAUAUAUGUAAGUUGUUUAGAACAUAUGAACACUUAUUAUUUAACUCAAAGAAGAUCUCAUUUAAUGACAACCAUACGCAAUUAAACAAAGCAGUGACUACUUUGAAGCAUUAGAGUAGAGGUACGGUAAGUGUCGAAUUUAACAAUAACAAAGCUGCCCAUCUUUUAACUUGCUGCUAAUAUCAAUUAGAAUCUAAUCAAUAUACAAUACACUCAGGUAUCCAAACAAUCUCUAUCAAACAAAUGCUAGUUACUAAUUUAGUUAUUUGAUAUUAGUUCAUAUUACGUCAAAACUAACAACAUUCUUCUCCUAUUGUUAUGGGUUCAAAUAUGAGAAGUCGAAUUGAAGCAGUAACACAAACAUGAUUCAAUUUUAAGAUUUAAACUUUCUUUACAUUCAAUAUUUCCAAAUUACAUUGACAGCUUAUUAUCAAUAAAAUAUGUUAGUGACAGCCCAAUCACACACUUUCACAACAACAUCCCAACAAAUUAUAUUAAGAUAAAAACGAAAUGAAG
RNAcentral lists this long non-coding RNA (9629 nucleotides) under Solanum tuberosum (potato). RNAcentral describes it as "long non-coding RNA (STUB_LNC003528)". Lineage: Eukaryota; Viridiplantae; Streptophyta; Magnoliopsida; Solanales; Solanaceae. The record is from RNAcentral.